CCUAGAGUUGUAGGCUUUGCCUGCUAUCUCUUACCCAUGUCUUUUGAGUACCUUACGUUUCCUCGGUGGGUUCGCCCACCGAUUGGACAAACUUAAACCCUUUGCAGUUGAAAUCAGCGCCUGAAAAAACUUAAUAGUUA
Molecule: unclassified non-coding RNA, 140 nt
Filed under: soil metagenome
Description: partial internal transcribed spacer 1
Source: RNAcentral